CGCCAGGCCGCCGCAGGCCCCCUCGGCCUCGGUGGGUUUGGCGCUGCGCGGGCAGAGGCAACCCCGGACGGCGGGAAAACGACACCGCUGCCCCCCGCCAAGACCUAGUAAUGAGCUUUUCUAACGUUCAUACGGUUUCAACGGCCCUUUAAGGAGAGAGGAGUUCCCGCCUGCACUGAAAGAAUAGCUCAACAUCUGUCAUCCCAUUCUCUACCAUGGCCCAAAAUCAGGAAGACUACAGCUGUCCUGUUCCUUUCAGAUACUUCUGGGAUAGAGAGGAAUCUUCUGGAUGCAAAUGUUUCCCACCAGUUCCCUCAGUCUGGAGUACAGAAUUGCUGGCUAUUGAGACCGCAUGUCUGUAUAUAGAUCACUACAAGCCAGCAGAGCGGAGGAGGAUCCCUGCACCUCCCUUCUAUCCUAACCACAAAGAGAGAAAGAAGCUCCCAUUCAGCUUCACGCUACCACCAGUGGCUGGCUGCUCUGGCUACUCAGCCCAGCUUAUCUACAGAUAACACAGAAAGGAAGGAUGGGGUAAAGGGUCAGUGUAAACUGUCACUUGCCUCCCUAUGAUCAGUAGACAAUUUCUUUACAGGAAGGUCUUAGGAAGGAUUUGGAAGAAGAUUGGGCAAAAUAAAUUAGGGAUUUUGAUAACCUCA
RNAcentral lists this long non-coding RNA (656 nucleotides) under Dromaius novaehollandiae (emu). RNAcentral's name for it is "lncRNA (ENSDNVG00000016849.1)". The record is from RNAcentral. Lineage: Eukaryota; Metazoa; Chordata; Aves; Casuariiformes; Dromaiidae.